This 492-nucleotide ribosomal RNA is filed under the name uncultured bacterium. RNAcentral's name for it is "partial 16S ribosomal RNA". It matches the Rfam family "Bacterial small subunit ribosomal RNA", at positions 29 to 507 of the family's 1533-position model. The record is from RNAcentral.
AGUGAACGCUGGCGGUAGGCCUAACACAUGCAAGUCGAACGGCAGCACAGUAAGAGCUUGCUCUUACGGGUGGCGAGUGGCGGACGGGUGAGGAAUACAUCGGAAUCUACUUUUUCGUGGGGGAUAACGUAGGGAAACUUACGCUAAUACCGCAUACGACCUACGGGUGAAAGCAGGGGAUCUUCGGACCUUGCGCGAUUGUAUGAGCCGAUGUCGGAUUAGCUAGUUGGCGGGGUAAAGGCCCACCAAGGCGACGAUCCGUAGCUGGUCUGAGAGGAUGAUCAGCCACACUGGAACUGAGACACGGUCCAGACUCCUACGGGAGGCAGCAGUGGGGAAUAUUGGACAAUGGGCGAAAGCCUGAUCCAGCCAUACCGCGUGGGUGAAGAAGGCCUUCGGGUUGUAAAGCCCUUUUGUUGGGAAAGAAAAGCAGCAGGUUAAUACCCCGCUGUUCUGACGGUACCCAAAGAAUAAGCACCGGCUAACUUCGUG